AUUGAACGCUGGCGGCAGGCCUAACACAUGCAAGUCGAGCGGAUGAAGGGAGCUUGCUCCUGGAUUCAGCGGCGGACGGGUGUGUAAUGCCUAGGAAUCUGCCUGGUAGUGGGGGAUAACGUCCGGAAACGGGCGCUACUACCGCAUACGUCCUGAGGGAGAAAGUGGGGGAUCUUCGGACCUCACGCUAUCAGAUGAGCCUCGGUCGGAUUCGCUAGUUGGUGGGGUAAAGGCCUACCAAGGCGACGAUCCGUAACUGGUCUGAGAGGAUGAUAAGUCACACUGGAACUGAGACACGGUCCAGACUCCUACGAGACGCAGCAGUGGGGAAUAUUGGACAAUGGUGGAAAGCCUUAUACAACCAGGGCGAGUGUGAUGAAGAGGUCUACGGUUUGUAAAGCACUUUAAGUGGGUAGGAAGGGCAGUAAGUAAAUACCUAGCUGUUUUGACGUUACCAACAGAAUAAGCACCGGCUAACUACGUG
RNAcentral lists this ribosomal RNA (484 nucleotides) under uncultured bacterium. RNAcentral's name for it is "partial 16S ribosomal RNA". It matches the Rfam family "Bacterial small subunit ribosomal RNA", at positions 30 to 507 of the family's 1533-position model. The record is from RNAcentral.